This 374-nucleotide ribosomal RNA is filed under the name uncultured bacterium. RNAcentral's name for it is "bacterial SSU rRNA". It matches the Rfam family "Bacterial small subunit ribosomal RNA", at positions 28 to 404 of the family's 1533-position model. The record is from RNAcentral.
GACGAACGCUGGCGGCGUGCUUAACACAUGCAAGUCGAGCGGUAAGGCCCUUUCGGGGGUACACGAGCGGCGAACGGGUGAGUAACACGUGGGUGACCUGCCCUCAGCUCUGGGAUAAGCCUGGGAAACUGGGUCUAAUACUGGAUAUGACUCCACGGUGCAUGUCGUGGGGUGGAAAGCCUUGUGCGGCUGAGGAUGGGCCCGCGGCCUAUCAGCUUGUUGGUGGGGUGANGGCCUACCAAGGCGACGACGGGUANCCGGCCUGAGAGGGCGACCGGCACACUGGGGACUGAGACACGGCCCAGACUCCUACGGGGGCAGCAGUGGGGAAGUCUUGCGCAAUGGGCGAAGCCUGACGCAGCGACGCCGCGUGA